Urocitellus parryii (Arctic ground squirrel) is the source of this 543-nucleotide non-coding RNA. NCBI's taxonomy places the organism in Eukaryota, Metazoa, Chordata, Mammalia, Rodentia, Sciuridae. The record is from RefSeq and is a predicted model, not a curated record.
AGGAGGAGAGAAAGAGGGCGCUCCAGAAGGAGUCCUUCGCGUGCGGACGGCAGGAGGAUUAAAAGGAGGGACGAGGGAGAACCGGAGAGGAAAGGAGAGGGCAGACCUGGGAAGGCAGGUCCCGCUGCGACCAGUCACAUGGAAAACUUCUUUGUUGAACACCAUGUACCAAAGUACAGAGUGAGCUUUGGCUUGUCYUUUGGGGUGUCAUUCCAGGCAAGUUUCAUCACCACCCUCUCCAAGAGAGUCUGGAACUCUGGUCCUCUCUCUUCCCCUUUGCAGACGUCAAGCAUGACAAGCCCUGGAAAGUCUAUCCAGACCCUGAAUGGAGCACUUUAAGACUUGCAUCAUUUAAGCCUCACAGAGGCCUUGUGAGCCUUUUGCAGGUACCUAAUGUAAUUAUGGCCCUGAUAAAAGCUGCCAAGUGCUCCUGAGUGCAAAGGASAGAAGAUAUUUUAACGAAGUUACUAGACUCAUUUGGCUUCUCAUCCUGGAAAAUCUACUGCUCUGGGGGACCAUCAUUUCUGCUGAGCUGGCAUUGCU